UUAGUGGAAGCGUCUGGAAAGGCGCGCGAUACAGGGUGACAGCCCCGUACACAAAAGCGCAUGUGCUGUGAGCUCGAUGAGUAGGGCGGGACACGUGGUAUCCUGUCUGAAUAUGGGGGGACCAUCCUCCAAGGCUAAAUACUCCUGACUGACCGAUAGUGAACCAGUACCGUGAGGGAAAGGCGAAAAGAACCCCGGCGAGGGGAGUGAAAAAGAACCUGAAACCGUGUACGUACAAGCAGUGGGAGCCCCACCACCAAAGCAUUCUCUGGUGUUGAAGGCCCUGCAAAGCAGCAUCGCGGUGGCGGAGCGUCGUUUGCGACGCCCAACACACAAAACAAGCGGUGAGUGCUUUGGGGUGGGGUGACUGCGUACCUUUUGUAUAAUGGGUCAGCGACUUAUAUUCUGUAGCAAGGUUAACCGAAUAGGGGAGCCGGAGGGAAACCGAGUCUUAAUUGGGCGUUAAGUUGCAGGGUAUAGACCCGAAACCCGGUGAUCUAGCCAUGGGCAGGUUGAAGGUUGGGUAACACUAACUGGAGGACCGAACCGACUAAUGUUGAAAAAUUAGCGGAUGACCUGUGGCUGGGGGUGAAAGGCCAAUCAAACCGGGAG
RNAcentral lists this ribosomal RNA (612 nucleotides) under Salmonella enterica subsp. enterica serovar Infantis. RNAcentral's name for it is "partial 23S ribosomal RNA". It matches the Rfam family "Bacterial large subunit ribosomal RNA", at positions 329 to 844 of the family's 2925-position model. Lineage: Bacteria; Pseudomonadati; Pseudomonadota; Gammaproteobacteria; Enterobacterales; Enterobacteriaceae. RNAcentral also lists the same sequence under 2 other names. The record is from RNAcentral.